AGGUCACUGCUAUCGGUGUUCGAUUAAGCCAUGCGAGUCGUGAGGGGUAAAGCCCUCGGCGGAGUGCUCAGUAACACGUGGACAACCUACCCAAGAGUCAGGGGUAACCCCGGGAAACUGGGGAUAAUACCUGAUAGGCCAUGACAUCUGGAAUCGAGUUGUGGUUUAAACGUAAGGCUCUUGGAUGGGUCUGCGGCGGAUUAGGUUGUUGCCGGUGUAACGUACCAGCAAGCCUGUAAUCCGUACGGGUUGUGGGAGCAAGAGCCCGGAGAUGGAUUCUGAGACACGAAUCCAGGCCCUACGGGGCGCAGCAGGCGCGAAAACUCUACAAUGCAGGCAACUGCGAUAGGGGAACAUCGAGUGGCAUCCACCAUGGAUGUCUGUCCAAUCGUCUAAAAAACGAUUGUCAGCAAGGGCCGGGCAAGACCGGUGCCAGCCGCCGCGGUAAUACCGGCGGCUCGAGUGGUGGCCGAUAUUAUUGAGUCUAAAGGGUCCGUAGCCGGCUUCGCAAGUCCUAUGGGAAAUCCAGCGGCUUAACCGUUGGGCUUUCAUGGGAUACUACAUUGCUUGGGACUGGGAGAGGUAGGAGGUACUCAGGGGGUAGGGGUGAAAUCCUGUAAUCCUUUGGGGACCACCGGUGGCGAAGGCGUCCUACCAGAACAGGUCCGACGGUGAGGGACGAAAGCUAGGGGCACGAACCGGAUUAGAUACCCGGGUAGUCCUAGCCGUAAACGAUGCUCGCUAGGUGUCACGGCAGUCGUGAAUUGUCGUGAUGCCGUAGGGAAGCCGUGAAGCGAGCCACUUGGGAAGUACGACCGCAAAGUUGAAACUUAA
Molecule: ribosomal RNA, 834 nt
Filed under: uncultured soil archaeon
Lineage: Archaea
Description: bacterial SSU rRNA
Rfam family: Archaeal small subunit ribosomal RNA
Source: RNAcentral